Molecule: long non-coding RNA, 1026 nt
Organism: Xenopus laevis (African clawed frog)
Lineage: Eukaryota; Metazoa; Chordata; Amphibia; Anura; Pipidae
Exons: 3
Source: RefSeq, a predicted model, not a curated record
ACAUGGUUGGCUGCUAACAGGAGACAGGGAAGCAAAUCAAGCCUGUUACUCAGUAUUGUUGACAAACACAAAACUGUUCCAUGACAUCUCACCAACACCACCCUGAACUGCUAUAUUGCUGCAAACCCUUUGUACUAUACUUUGUUCAGGUGGGGACAAUGUCAGGACGCAUACUUCAUGUUAACCAAGGCCUUAAAAUAGGAACUAUCCCUACUCUGUGUUUGUAGGCAAAGGCACCCUCUAAUCACUGUAAAGAGGCAGGUGAAUGUCAUUGAUGUCACUGCCUUCUGACAUGGGGAUUAAAAUGUGGAUAAGAACCUGUGAGUGAAAAAGAUUUUUAUUUUUUAAAUGUGACUACCUACUACAUGAUGUCAUCUUUGUAUGUUUUUUUAUAAACAUUUGUGUAUAUUUAUGUAUAUUCAUUUCAGAAAAUAAUCCGACUGCAUGUAUAAUCCAGUACAGCUUUCUUGGCUUUGAAGCUUGUAUCAUUGUCAUCCUGCUUGCCUUGCUUCUUAAAUAUCACCUGCAAAGUUCAACUAGUGAUAAAUGCAAGGUGCAACUGGAAGGGCAGGAAUUGGAGAGAGGCCUUCAGUAUGCUGAAAUCUGCAAACAGAGAUUCCCUUCACAUCCAAGGAGCAGGCACAGGGAAGAAAAGAUAACAUAUGCAUCUGUCACAACAAAGUAAUACAGAUGGAGUAUGGAGUCUCAAAGCAUUCAUUCUCUGCUUGCACACACAUCAAAAUACUGUAGUAAAGCAUAUUUUUAAAAAACAUAAAAAAACACCCUCUCCUUUGACUCUUUUAUCUUGCCAGGCUUUGUGUUGCCAUUAAACAUGCAGUACAGCAUAAGGCUGAAUGCAACCCAGAACCACAUAAUCUACAGCACUGGCACAGUUGUAUUAAAAGCAAUAUUGCUUUUUCCUUUAAACAAAUAGGAUUUUUUGGAAUUUUUCUUGGUUCAUAUAUUGCAGUCUAUUUUAUCUGGCCAAACUACAACAAAGCCAACCCUAAACUGGCCAGUCCUCCA